AUGCAAGUCGAGCGGUAACAGAAAGUAGCUUGCUACUUUGCUGACGAGCGGCGGACGGGUGAGUAAUGCUUGGGAACAUGCCUUGAGGUGGGGGACAACAGUUGGAAACGACUGCUAAUACCGCAUAAUGUCUACGGACCAAAGGGGGCUUCGGCUCUCGCCUUUAGAUUGGCCCAAGUGGGAUUAGCUAGUUGGUGAGGUAAUGGCUCACCAAGGCAACGAUCCCUAGCUGGUUUGAGAGGAUGAUCAGCCACACUGGAACUGAGACACAGUCCAGACUCCUACGGGAGGCAGCAGUGGGGAAUAUUGCACAAUGGGCGAAAGCCUGAUGCAGCCAUGCCGCGUGUGUGAAGAAGGCCUUCGGGUUGUAAAGCACUUUCAGUCAGGAGGAAAGGGUGUGAGUUAAUACCUCACAUCUGUGACGUUACUGACAGAAGAAGCACCGGCUAACUCCGUGCCAGCAGCCGCGGUAAUACGGAGGGUGCGAGCGUUAAUCGGAAUUACUGGGCGUAAAGCGUACGCAGGCGGUUUGUUAAGCGAGAUGUGAAAGCCCCGGGCUCAACCUGGGAACUGCAUUUCGAACUGGCAAACUAGAGUGUGAUAGAGGGUGGUAGAAUUUCAGGUGUAGCGGUGAAAUGCGUAGAGAUCUGAAGGAAUACCGAUGGCGAAGGCAGCUACCUGGGUCAACACUGACGCUCAUGUACGAAAGCGUGGGGAGCAAACGGGAUUAGAUACCCCGGUAGUCCACGCCGUAAACGAUGUCUACUAGAAGCUCGGAACCUCGGUUCUGUUUUUCAAAGCUAACGCAUUAAGUAGACCGCCUGGGGAGUACGGCCGCAAGGUUAAAACUCAAAUGAAUUGACGGGGGCCCGCACAAGCGGUGGAGCAUGGGGUUUAAUUCGAUGCAACGGCGAGGAACCUUACCUACACUUGACAUACAGAGAACUUACUAGAAGAUAGAUUGGUGCCUUCGGGAACUCUGAUACAGGUGCUGCAUGGCCUGUCGUCAGCUCGUGGUGUGGAGAUGGUGGGUAAGUCCGCAACGAGGCAACCCUUAUUCUUAGUGCUAGCAGGUAAUGGGUGAGAACUCUAAGGAGACUGCCGGGGGA
This 1109-nucleotide ribosomal RNA is filed under the name uncultured Pseudoalteromonas sp. RNAcentral describes it as "bacterial SSU rRNA". It matches the Rfam family "Bacterial small subunit ribosomal RNA", at positions 55 to 1159 of the family's 1533-position model. Lineage: Bacteria; Pseudomonadati; Pseudomonadota; Gammaproteobacteria; Alteromonadales; Pseudoalteromonadaceae. The record is from RNAcentral.